RNAcentral lists this unclassified non-coding RNA (329 nucleotides) under soil metagenome. RNAcentral's name for it is "partial contains 5.8S ribosomal RNA, internal transcribed spacer 2, and large subunit ribosomal RNA". The stretch from base 1 to 120 matches the Rfam family "5.8S ribosomal RNA", at positions 35 to 154 of the family's 154-position model. The record is from RNAcentral.
GAUGAAGAACGUAGCGAAAUGCGAUAAGUAAUGUGAAUUGCAGAAUUCAGUGAAUCAUCGAAUCUUUGAACGCACAUUGCGCUCCCUGGUAUUCCGGGGAGCAUGCCUGUUCGAGCGUCAUUACAACCCUCAAGCUCUGCUUGGUGUUGGGGCUUGCUGUAAUAGAGCAGCCCUUAAAAUCAGUGGCGGUGCCAUUAGGCUCUAAGCGUAGUAAUUCUUCUCGCUAUAGGGUCCCGGUGGAUGCUCGCCAUCAACCCCAAACUUUCUAUGGUUGACCUCGGAUCAGGUAGGGAUACCCGCUGAACUUAAGCAUAUCAAUAAGCGGAGGA